AAAAAGCCCCCCCGUAGCUUCUGCGGGGGGCUCUGUCGCUCUCCACCCCCCACCCCCCCCCCGCGCCGCCUCCUCAAGACACGCUCGGUCUGCUUGGACGCGCCUACCGGCGGACAAACGAGGAGGCAUGGUCCUUCAAUGUUGUGACAAUAAAUUUAUGGACCAGUUACUCAAUGGUUUGAAGAUCUGGUGUUACUGGUGAAGAUGAAGAUGUUCCUUACAGAUAUACAUUAGGUAUGGGCUGUAACAAGACAUAGUCAUUCCAAAAGUUAUAUAAAGCAUUUGUCAACUUUGAACUGAACCUGGCUACAGUCAUCUUUCUGCUCCUCAGUUGCCACAAGAAGGGGAAGGGGGUUGGAAUGCAUUACUGGACACAACAAAGAAGUUUCUCAUGAGAACCAAGGUCAUCUCUACUGGCAACAGAUAAGAUUGGAGAAGGAGUGCCUGAAGAGCCCGCCAAUUAACCCAAUUGGCCAGUGUGACCUGUGACCCUUGGGGAUGGGGUUUAUUUCCUAGUUUAAUUAUAUUAAAACUGCAGGAAAGAUUUAGAUUUGGUUUUCCAUUCAAGCUGCACUGAUAUGAUGUACUCAUUAAAGAAGACCUUUGAGAAGAAGCCAAGUUUCAAGAGUUCUGAUUUGCUUGGGUUCGUUAGUCAGAGCCUUGACUAACCAUUAUUGACAUGUCAUACCUAUAUGGGAAACUACACAAAGUAGCCACACAGGGAGAUGGGCAGCAAAUAAAUUUAACAAAUAAGUAUCUA
Long non-coding RNA from Pantherophis guttatus, 760 nucleotides. RefSeq lists it as uncharacterized. Lineage: Eukaryota; Metazoa; Chordata; Lepidosauria; Squamata; Colubridae. The record is from RefSeq and is a predicted model, not a curated record.